AUGUAUAGCCAUACCACUUUGAACAUGCCCUGUCUCAUCUGAUCUCGGGAGCCAAACAGGGUUGGGUCUCGUUUGUACUCGGAUGGUAGACAUUCCUAUUAGAUCCAGCUCCAUAAGGUGUUGGCUAUGUAUU
This 133-nucleotide ribosomal RNA is filed under the name Microcebus murinus (gray mouse lemur). The record is from RNAcentral. Lineage: Eukaryota; Metazoa; Chordata; Mammalia; Primates; Cheirogaleidae.